GACGAACGCUGGCGGCGUGCCUAAUACAUGCAAGUAGAACGCAGUUGCGAACGGGUGAGUAAAGCGUAGGUAACUGCCUCAUAGCGGGGGAAAACUAUUGGAAACGAUAGCUAAUACCGCAUACUGUGAGAUGGACGUGAGUUGUAUUAGGUAGUUGGGGGGGUAAAGGCUCACCAAGGCGACGAUACAUACCCGACGUGGGAGGGUGUUCCGCAACACUGGGACUGAGACACGGCCCAGAAUCCUACGGGAGGCAGCAGUAGGGAAUCUUCGGCCAUUGACGGAAGUCUGGCCGCGCAAAGCCGCGUGAGGGAAGAAGGGUUUCCGAUCGUAAAGCUCUGUUGUUAGAGGAGCGGUAAUUAACCAGAAAGCACCGGCUAACUACGUGCCAGCCGCCGCGGUAAUAC
This 407-nucleotide ribosomal RNA is filed under the name uncultured bacterium. Its description in RNAcentral is "partial 16S ribosomal RNA". It matches the Rfam family "Bacterial small subunit ribosomal RNA", at positions 28 to 526 of the family's 1533-position model. The record is from RNAcentral.